RNAcentral lists this transfer RNA (84 nucleotides) under Chlamydomonas reinhardtii. It matches the Rfam family "tRNA". Rfam says of the family: Transfer RNA (tRNA) molecules are approximately 80 nucleotides in length. Their secondary structure includes four short double-helical elements and three loops (D, anti-codon, and T loops). The record is from Rfam by way of RNAcentral. Lineage: Eukaryota; Viridiplantae; Chlorophyta; Chlorophyceae; Chlamydomonadales; Chlamydomonadaceae.
GGGAGUUUGGUCUAGUGGUAUGAUUCUCGCUUAGGGAUCUCUCUAGCAUGCGAGAGGUCGUGGGUUCAAUUCCCGCAACUCCCC